Molecule: long non-coding RNA, 702 nt
Filed under: Equus asinus (donkey)
Lineage: Eukaryota; Metazoa; Chordata; Mammalia; Perissodactyla; Equidae
Description: lncRNA (ENSEASG00005031702.1)
Source: RNAcentral
AUUAAGUGCAGCGUAGCGGGCGCUAACCGACGUGCACAGGCAGCGGGCUGGGGCAGGGCCAGGGAGCCAGGAACAGGGCAGGAGAGCUGAGCUCUGCCCGCAGCCGCCCAAGAGGAGCUCUGCAGCCUGGGGAGAUCAGCUGCCUGCCUCUCUGAGACCACUGUAAACUGCAAGUUCCAAGAGGGCAAGGAUGCCUUGUUUAUGCCCAGAAUCUACCACAUACAUAUACUCCAUAACUAUUUGUGGAAAGAGUGAAUGAAGUUAUCCAUCAAGUUGAGACUGGGUGAUUUAAAAACAGCCAGCAGGGGGUACAGCUGCCAAUAGCCCAAGAUCAUCCAAACGAAAGAGAGAACCUCUGUCUAUCUUACAUUUGGAGAAAUCUGGGAAAGGAUUCAAACUGGUCAGGGAAGCAACACGUGGAAGGAGCAGAAAAUCGUGGUCAGAUGAACAGUGCCCAGGACUGGCCGGGCCCCAGGACAGGUGCUGCAUGGGAUGUAGGAUGAGUCAGCCCUUUCGUCCAGGCAGUGUGGGAACAGGCCAGUGUGGCCUGGGGCCAUAUUGACGUCGGAGGGUCAGGAAAAAUCAGUCAUACGGAUCUCGUCUUUAUUUAAAAGUUUGAUAUCAUUUCUAUAUUUUGCAUUCAUUUUUAUUUAAAAAAUGUUUAUGUAAAAUAUUAUAUACUAUAAAUAUAAUAAAAUGGAG